Molecule: ribosomal RNA, 498 nt
Filed under: uncultured bacterium
Lineage: Bacteria
Description: partial 16S ribosomal RNA
Rfam family: Bacterial small subunit ribosomal RNA
Source: RNAcentral
AUUGAACGCUGGCGGCAUGCCUUACACAUGCAAGUCGAACGGCAGCACGGGGCAACCUGGUGGCGAGUGGCGAACGGGUGAGUAAUGCAUCGGAACGUACCUUUCAGUGGGGGAUAACGUAGCGAAAGUUACGCUAAUACCGCAUAUUCUGUGAGCAGGAAAGCAGGGGAUCGCAAGACCUUGCGCUGAUUGAGCGGCCGAUGUCAGAUUAGCUAGUUGGUGAGGUAGAGGCUCACCAAGGCGACGAUCUGUAGCGGGUCUGAGAGGAUGAUCCGCCACAAUGGAACUGAGACACGGUCCAGACUCCUACGGGAGGCAGCAGUGGGGAAUUUUGGACAAUGGGGGCAACCCUGAUCCAGCCAUGCCGCGUGAGUGAAGAAGGCCUUCGGGUUGUAAAGCUCUUUCGGCCGGGAAGAAAUCGCACGGGCUAAUACCCUGUGUGGAUGACGGUACCGGAAUAAGAAGCACCGGCUAACUACGUGCCAGCCGCCGCGGUAA